GGCCUAACGCAUGCAAGUCGAACGGUAGCACAGAGAGCUUGCUCUCGGGUGACCAGUGGCGGACGGGUGAGUAAUGUCUGGGAAACUGCCCGAUGGAGGGGGAUAACUACUGGAAACGGUAGCUAAUACCGCAUAAUGUCGCAAGACCAAAGAGGGGGACCUUCGGGCCUCUUGCCAUCGGAUGUGCCCAGAUGGGAUUAGCUUGUUGGUGAGGUAAUGGCUCACCAAGGCGACGAUCCCUAGCUGGUCUGAGAGGAUGACCAGCCACACUGGAACUGAGACACGGUCCAGACUCCUACGGGAGGCAGCAGUGGGGAAUAUUGCACAAUGGGCGCAAGCCUGAUGCAGCCAUGCCGCGUG
This 360-nucleotide ribosomal RNA is filed under the name uncultured bacterium. Its description in RNAcentral is "bacterial SSU rRNA". It matches the Rfam family "Bacterial small subunit ribosomal RNA", at positions 45 to 403 of the family's 1533-position model. The record is from RNAcentral.